Bos taurus (domestic cattle) is the source of this 2274-nucleotide long non-coding RNA. NCBI's taxonomy places the organism in Eukaryota, Metazoa, Chordata, Mammalia, Artiodactyla, Bovidae. The record is from Ensembl.
AUUGAAGAGCAAGAAUAACCAUCGAGUUAUUGGACUUUGAGCUAAGAUGAAUGUUUAAAUCCUGAGGACUAGGCGCUAAAUAACAGCUGACGCAGGUGCUACGCAGAAGUGGAUUCAGUGAAGCUAGGAAGACAGGAGCGGCAGACAGGAUUCGGAGCCAGUGUUGGUGAAAACUAGGACUGAGGAGCCAGCGGCAGUUCGUGAAGAUAGGAAAGAGAAGCCCGGGAGCCAGUGCGACUUGGUGAAGGAAGCUAGGAAGAAGGAGCGAGUCCUAACGAUUUGGAGGUGAAGCUAGGAGAGGAUUCCAGGAAGGAGGAAGCCAGUGCGGUGUGGUGAAGCUAGCGUGCGGCUUGGCUUGGCAACCACGCGGAGGCGGCGAGCAGGCGGAGUGGAGGAUAGAUAGAGGAUCCUAGAGCAGCAGACCAGUGUACGAGCCCCGCAGGGAGAGCCAGUGGUGUGGUAAAAAUCCGUGAAGUCGGCACUAUCGUGGGUUUUUUUUCCUCCUGUAACUCAGUAUGGUAAUAUCUCUUAUUAAAUUUUCCUAAUAGUAAUGGGGGAGUUGUGUACUUAAGCAUAAAGGGGAUUUUAUUACGGGGAUGUAGGCCGGUUUUCGGGUGUCGUAGGUUUCUCUUUUUCAGGCCUAUUUUCUCAUGCAUCUUGUCUGGAGCUUUUGAGGGCAGACUUCAAGGCCCGGAGGAAUGGUAGAUGGCAAGUGUUCUUGUUUUUAACCAAUAUGAGGGAUGUCCUGAAUUUGGUAGAACAACUGUGAGACAACUUCAGCAAGCUUUGUAAACAGGUUUUAUAUUCAGUUUGGGGGUAAUGAAGCAUUUCAGUUUCGUGAGUAGAGGGCCUACUUUUCUUUCCUCACCCUGUAUUUUAAAAGUCUUCUAAAUAUGUAGUUUCGGUGUAUAAUUCUGGGCGGGGGGAGUUUUUUUGGGGGGGGAGCAAAAUAUGUUUUGAGUUCUUUUCCCUUUAGGUCUGUCUAGAAUUCCAAAGGCAAAUGACUCGAGGUAACAGGCGAAAAGAAAAUCCAAUAUCAGGAUAAUCAGAACACUGCAGGUUUACAGUUAUAGAAACUCUAGCACAAGCAGCUUUCACUUUGAGGUCUGUGGCGCAGCUGUCCAUUGGAGUAAUGGCUGGUAGUUUAUUCUUUUUUUCCCCACCCCUUUAUUAAAUAUUUUUAUAAAGUACGUAACUGGUUAUUUUUACUUAAAUAUUUUGGGGUGGUGUGAACAGGGAAGAGGGUGGGGGAGAAACUUUUUUUUUCUAAGAUUUUCCACAGAUUCUAUAGUACUAUUGACAAUCUGAGUUAGAGAAGGAUUGUACUGCUACGCUGUUUGGCACCAACACCUUCAGGGAUUGGAGCAGCUUUUUUCCUUGGAAGAGUAUUCCCAGUGAAGCUGAAAUGUACAGCCCAGUGCAGCUUUGGUUCAUAUUCAGUCAUCUCAGGAGAACUUCAGAAGAGCUUGACUAGGCCAAAUGUUGAAGUUAAGUUUUCAAAUAACGACUUUUAAGAUACCUUUAUUAAAGGGGAGGGGCAAAUUUUGGCGAUUUGUAGUUGGCAGUGGCUUGUAAUGAUUGGGAUGGGGGGGGCGUGGGUUUAGGUAAUUGUUUAGUUUUUGAUUACAGAUAAACUCAUGCCAGAGAACUUAAAUACUUAAGGUGGAAAAACUAAAGAAAUCUCAACUUCCAAGUUGGCAAGUAACUCGAAAUCCUCUGGUUCUGUUUUGCCCCAAUUUUUGAAUUUAACAGAUGGGGAAGUUGAUGACGAUUCACUGGAUUUAAAAGAGUAGGGCUUGGGAAAGGAAAAUGACUGGGGGUUGGUCUGGCCCUCUGCGCUGACUUAGAUAAAAACUUGGGGAAUUUUUUUUUAAAUGGUAAAGUUCGGAUAUAGUGUGUGGUUCUCUCUUGGAAUAUUUUUCAGGUGAUUUAAUAAAACUUAAUACUACUAUAGGAGCUUCAGAGCAAAGGAGGUGGCUUAAUGAUCCUGAAGGGAUUUCUUCUGGUGGUAGCUUUUGUAUUAUCAAACUUUUUUCAGAUAACAUCUUCUGAGUCAUAACCAGCCUGGCAAUCUGAUGGCCUAGAUGGAGAGGGGAACAGCUCCUUGGUGAAUGAUAAGUAAAGGCAGAAAAGAUUGUAUUUCAUACCUACAUUGGGGAAAAAAGCAUAACCCUGAGAUUUUCUUCUGAUGAACACAUUGUCUGCACAUGCAAAAAAAAAAGCAAAUGAAAACUACCAAUUUAAAGUUAAUGGAAUCUACUACUAUAAAGUUAA